GGAGUUUGGACCGUGUCUCAGUUCCAAUGUGGGGGACCUUCCUCUCAGAACCCCUACUGAUCGUCGACUUGGUGAGCCGUUACCUCACCAACUAUCUAAUCAGAAGCGUGCUCACCCAUAGUCCUUACGUUUCAUCACAAAGUCAUGCGGCUUCGUGACACAUGGAGCUUUAAUCCAACUUUCGCUGGGCUAUCCCCCGACUAUGGACAGAUUGCACACCUGUUACGCACCCGUGCGCCGGUCGCCGGCAAUUAAAGCAAGCUUCAAUCCCGCUGCCCCUCGACUUGCAUGUGUUAAGCCUGUAGCUAGCGUUCAUC
Molecule: ribosomal RNA, 317 nt
Filed under: uncultured Paludibacter sp.
Lineage: Bacteria; Pseudomonadati; Bacteroidota; Bacteroidia; Bacteroidales; Paludibacteraceae
Description: partial 16S ribosomal RNA
Source: RNAcentral